Molecule: non-coding RNA, 119 nt
Filed under: Campylobacter hyointestinalis
Lineage: Bacteria; Pseudomonadati; Campylobacterota; Epsilonproteobacteria; Campylobacterales; Campylobacteraceae
Description: purD RNA motif
Rfam family: purD RNA motif
Source: RNAcentral
UGCAGUGAGACGCGACUUCGUUUGUAACUCUUAGAGCGAGAAAUCGCGACCUAAAGCAUAAGCCUAUCUGCAAGAUUGGCUUUUUAGGGCCGAUUCUACUACGCAACGGCCAUUUGGGU